AAAAAUUGAGGUAUUCAUACCUCUUUUUGUAUUUAAAACCUUACUCUAUAAAACCUAAAAAAUUUUAUAUAAGAAAAUGAA
Molecule: unclassified non-coding RNA, 81 nt
Filed under: soil metagenome
Description: partial internal transcribed spacer 1
Source: RNAcentral